RNAcentral lists this long non-coding RNA (3659 nucleotides) under Canis lupus familiaris (dog). RNAcentral describes it as "lncRNA (ENSCAFG00000059002.1, ENSCAFG00805002214.1, ENSCAFG00845004929.1)". Lineage: Eukaryota; Metazoa; Chordata; Mammalia; Carnivora; Canidae. The record is from RNAcentral.
AUGUCGGCCAUCUCCAAAGGCAAGGAUCAGAACACAGGACCUGCUGGAUACCGGAGGAGGCUUAUGAGAGACAGAGGAAGCUGCCCCAGGGACCGGGGACUGAGAGACCAAGGGACCAAGGGACCAGAGAGCCCAGAGACCAGCCCAUCUUUGGCUUUGCCGAAUGACUUUGGACAGCCUCUCUACCUUCCUGGGCUUCCAUUUCUCCAUCCACAAAACGGUGACAAGAUGAGGGAAAGGAGGUGUGCAGGCCUGGAGCUUCCCAGGUUCCAGCUAGAACAGGGGCAAGCCGGAGUUCAAUCUUCCAGCCUGCAGAUGCCAUUGCUGAGGUGCCAUGAGGCUGCGGGUCCUGCACCACAAAGUUUGCAGAGGCUAGAAACCUGGACGGGGAGACCCCACUGUGCAGCUUUUCCCACAUCGGCAUCCUGUUGACCCGGCCAUCACAGAUGUCACCUCCGAGGCUGGGGGGUGGGGGGCCAAAGGCUGCAUUCCUCCUGGUGUCCUCGAGAUCUGACCUCCAGGUCGGCAGAUUUAGGAUUUAUUGUUCACACUUUCUCCACACAGUAGCAGUCCAAGGUGCCCGAGAAAUCUGCUUGGCUGACCAUGCCUGUCCUUCAGGUGAAGAAAGAGAAAGCCAAGAGCAUCCUGGGGUCUAGUCCAGGGUCACACAGCAAUCAACCAUGGUGGAACCUGGGCCAAGGUCUGACAUGUGUCUCUUGGCCAGUGUCCAGUCACCUGUGGUUUAGCAAUGACCUCCAGCAGGGCAGGCUGAGGAGGGGAGAGACACAGCCCUGGUGAAAAAGAACGAUGCGUUUUAGCAAGCCCAAGGUCAAGGGCAGCUCCCUCCACAAAUGUAGCCAGUGCCUUGCACUCCCAGAGCCGUUAAAAAUAUUUUUUGGUCUCAGGACCCCUUUAUACUCUUAAAAAUUAUUGAUGAAUCCCAAGAUCUUCUUUUUGUGGUCAUUAUAUCUACCAACAUUUACUGUGCUAAAAAUUAAAACUAAGAUAUUUAGUAUUACUUAAUGUAAUAAUAAUAAGCAUUCUAAUAUAAUUUAUUUUAUGAAAAAUCAUCACAUUUUUGAAAACAAAAAGAAAUUGCGAAGAGUAGCAUUGUUUUAUAUUUUCCCAAAUCUCUUUAAUGCCUGGCUUAAAAGAGGACAGCUGGGUUCUCACUCCUGCUUCCGUAUUCAGUCUGUUGUGAGAUAUCAUGACACAGAGGCUCUGGAAAACCCCAUUGUACACUCAUGAAAGACUGAAAGUAAAAAAGGCAAAUAACAUCUUAGUCUUAGUCUUGACCUAAUGGAUCCCCUGAAAGGGUCUCGGGGAACUUAGGGGCCCCCAGAGACCACACUUUAGAAACACCGGUUCUAAACAUUAGAACCACUAUUGAUUUAAUUUUCACCACACUGGGGCACCUGGGUGGCUCACUCAGCUAAGCGCCUGACUUUGGCUCGGGUUGUGAUUCUGGAGUCCGGGGAUUGAGCCCUGUAUCAGGCUCCCUACUCAGUGAGGAGUCUGCUUCAUCCUCUGCCUCUCGCCCUGCUCCUGUUCUUGCUCUCCCGAUCUCUCUCAAAUUAAUAAAAUCUUCUAAAAAAAAUUUUCACCACACUGUGGGAGGUGCAUCCUAUUGUUAUUUCCAUUUUAUAGAUGAGCAAAAUGAGGCUCAGAGAGGUUAUGAGGCUUGCUCAUAAGACACCCAGCCAGUGAGCAGUGGUAUCAAGAUUUGAACCCAAGAUAAUCAACUCUGGGGAAGUGUGUUCCUAACAGCAACACUGUACUCUAGGCCCCAGCUGAUGGACAGAUAUUGUGGGAGGAAUGGGAUCAGGAAGGAGCCAGACGUUCUGGGUACCCUAAGUGGGGAGAUGUAGUGUGGUGGUUAAGAUUAUGGGCUUGGGAACAGUGACCGGCCCCACAUCCUAGCUGUGCCCUGUACAUGCUGUGUGACCAGGAGCAAAGUACUCAACUCCUCUGAGCCUCAGAUACUCCCUCUGUAAAAUGUGGUAAUAUAUUUACAUCAUGGGGUCAUGGGGAGGAUUCAGUGUUAAAUCAUGUAAAUUAUAACAGUGCUCGAUACAUGUCAUAUAUAGUACACAUCUUUUAGCUGGUAUAGAUUUGAAAACAGGGCCAUGGAUAUGGUUUUGGUGAAGCUGGAGGGAGGCAGGGCGCAGCUGUAGCACAGGGCCAGAAGGCAGGGCCGAGGCAGGGAGAAGUUGGGUGGCCUGGAGGGUGAAGGAGGGACUUUCAGACUAUGAGCAUGUUCUGAAGCGUGGGCACGGACUGGCGCUGGACUCCACGGACUCUGGGCAUCCAAGCCAGCAGAGAAAUGCAGUGUGCCAGGAGGGCCAGCCUCACCUGGCCUGGGGCACAGAGGCCAGAUCCCCUGCUCGGGGCCAGCUGGCCGCUGGGGACUGAGACCAGGCCUGCCCGGAAAAGCCACCAGGCCACCUGCUCUCCUGAGCCCCUUCAAAGUGUGAAGCCUCUGGCUCCCUGUUUCUCUCAUCAUCCCAGCUCUAGAAAAUAAUCUAAACCAUCUUGUCAAAUUGAGGAACCUGAGUCCCAGAGAGGGAACCAGACUGCCCACGUCACACAGCAAGUGGGGGACAAAAGGCCGAGGCUACCUGGCAUCUGAUUCAGGCUGUGUCUGCUGCACCGCGCCACCUUCCUUGCUCAGCAGGGACUCAUGAGCACGUGGGCAGCAGCUCUGGAGCUUGACUGUCCGGUGGGAGUCUCAGCCCUGCCACUUCCAGGCUGUUGGACCUCAGGCAAGAUGCUUCACCUCUCUGUGCCUCUGUUUUCUUAACUGUAGAAAUCACAGGCUUACCUCCUUUAUGGGGAUGUGGUGUGGAUUAAAGUGAGGUGCGUCGAUCCACACAAAGCACUUAGAACACUACCUAGCGUUCAAUAGCAGUAGUUAACACUGAGCACAUCGCCAUGGCCAUCAUCAUCAUCGUCAUCGUUGAGACCUGGCAUAUCGUUAGGGGAUACUGUGGGUGUGUUCCUUAUGGAGCAAACACCCUGCUUUGUUCAAGACCCUGGGGAGAGAUGGGUAAAUGCAGGGCUGUGUUCCGUCUUCUGCAUGGAGACUGAUUCAUAGCGUGAUUUUGGCACACCGUCUGCCAUGUCUGUGCCUCUGUGUCCCCAGUUGGAAUGAGGGUGGGGGAGGGGUCUUUUUAAAAAAGAUUUCUAUUGUAAAAAAACAAUAAAAAGAUUUCUAUUAUACCUCUAGUGCAUGAUAUUCCCCUGGCAGUAAUGACUAUAAAAAUGUGCAUGGCUAUUUAUUACAGUAUCACUUAUAAGGUAAUGUAAACAUUUAGAAACCAUCUCAGUGCCACUCCUCACUGGGAUUUUAAACAUGAGGGAAUUAGUAGCCCCACAUUGGAAAUAAUCCAGAUGUUCACUAGCAGGUGCACAGAUGCCCAAGCUCGUACGUCCACGUGAUAGAACGCUUCUCAGCAAUGAAAAGCAAUCCGCUCUCAGUAACAUGGGGCAAAAGCUCAAAAACCCUGUGCGAGGUGAAGAAGCCGCAGAGAGUGCCUACUGAAUGAAGCCAUUGAAAAGAAAUUCUGGAAAAAGGACAUCUAGGCUAUAAGGGCGGGGAAACAGUCCAGGGGCUGCCUAGGGGCAGGAUGUGGGGGCAAAGGAUUGACGACAAAGGGGCA